RNAcentral lists this ribosomal RNA (458 nucleotides) under uncultured Oceanotoga sp. RNAcentral describes it as "bacterial SSU rRNA". It matches the Rfam family "Bacterial small subunit ribosomal RNA", at positions 338 to 795 of the family's 1533-position model. The record is from RNAcentral. Lineage: Bacteria; Thermotogati; Thermotogota; Thermotogae; Petrotogales; Petrotogaceae.
CCUACGGGGGGCUGCAGUGGGGAAUUUUGGACAAUGGACGGAAGUCUGAUCCAGCGACGCCGCGUGAAGGAAGAAGUCCUUCGGGAUGUAAACUUCUGAACUUAUCGAAUAAAGACAACUGGGGACAGUUGGAUGAAGGUAGAUAAAGAAAAGCCCCGGCUAACUACGUGCCAGCAGCCGCGGUAAGACGUAGGGGGCGAGCGUUGCCCGGAAUUACUGGGCGUAAAGGGGGCGUAGGCGGUCAAAUAAGUCAGAUGUGAAAUACUACUGCUCAACGGUAGAAAUGCGUUUGAAACUGUAAGACUUGAGGGUACCAAAGGUAGACGGAAUUACCUGAGUAGGGGUGAAAUCCGUAGAUACAGGUAAGAACGCCAGUGGGGAAGCCGGUCUACUGGGGUAACCCUGACGCUGAGGCCCGAAAGCUAGGGGAGCGAACCGGCUUAGAUACCCCGGUAGUC